Molecule: ribosomal RNA, 490 nt
Filed under: uncultured bacterium
Lineage: Bacteria
Description: partial 16S ribosomal RNA
Rfam family: Bacterial small subunit ribosomal RNA
Source: RNAcentral
AUUGAACGCUGGCGGCAGGCCUAACACAUGCAAGUCGAACGGUAACAGGGAUCAGCUUGCUGAUUCGCUGACGAGUGGCGGACGGGUGAGUAAUGUCUGGGAAACUGCCUGAUGGAGGGGGAUAACUACUGGAAACGGCAGCUAAUACCGCAUAACGUCGCAAGACCAAAGAGGGGGACCUUCGGGCCUCUUGCCAUCGGAUGUGCCCAGAUGGGAUUAGCUAGUAGGUGGGGUAACGGCUCACCUAGGCGACGAUCCCUAGCUGGUCUGAGAGGAUGACCAGCCACACUGGAACUGAGACACGGUCCAGACUCCUACGGGAGGCAGCAGUGGGGAAUAUUGCACAAUGGGCGCAAGCCUGAUGCAGCCAUGCCGCGUGUAUGAAGAAGGCCUUCGGGUUGUAAAGUACUUUCAGCGGGGAGGAAGGGAGUAAAGUUAAUACCUUUGCUCAUUGACGUUACCCGCAGAAGAAGCACCGGCUAACUCCGUG